CCUACGGGUGGCAGCAGUGAGGAAUAUUGGUCAAUGGGCGCGAGCCUGAACCAGCCAAGUAGCGUGAAGGAUGACGGCACUAAGGGUUGUAAACUUCUUUUAUAAAGGAAUAAAGUGAGGCACGGGUGCCUGUUUGUAUGUACUUUAUGAAUAAGGAUCGGCUAACUCCGUGCCAGCAGCCGCGGUAAUACGGAGGAUCCGAGCGUUAUCCGGAUUUAUUGGGUUUAAAGGGAGCGGAGGUGGGUUGUUAAGUCAGUUGUGAAAGUUUGCGGCUCAACCCUAAAAGUGCGAUUGAUACUGGCAGUCUUGAGUUCAGUUGAGGUAGGCGGAAUUCGUGGUGUAGCGGUGAAAUGCUUAGAUAUCACGAAGAACUCCGAUUGCGAAGGCAGCUUACUAAACUGCCACUGACGUUGAUGCUCGAAAGUGUGGGUAUCAAACAGGAUUAGAUACCCGUGUAGUC
This 460-nucleotide ribosomal RNA is filed under the name uncultured bacterium. RNAcentral describes it as "partial 16S ribosomal RNA". It matches the Rfam family "Bacterial small subunit ribosomal RNA", at positions 338 to 795 of the family's 1533-position model. The record is from RNAcentral.